Aethalodelphis obliquidens (Pacific white-sided dolphin) is the source of this 107-nucleotide small nuclear RNA. NCBI's taxonomy places the organism in Eukaryota, Metazoa, Chordata, Mammalia, Artiodactyla, Delphinidae. The record is from RefSeq and is a predicted model, not a curated record.
GUGCUCGCUUCAGCAGUACAUAUACUAAAAUUGGAACGACACAGAGAAGAUUAGCAUGGCCCCUGUAGAAAGAUGACAUGCAAAUUCGUGAAGCAUUCCAUAUUUUU